RNAcentral lists this ribosomal RNA (423 nucleotides) under uncultured bacterium. Its description in RNAcentral is "bacterial SSU rRNA". It matches the Rfam family "Bacterial small subunit ribosomal RNA", at positions 207 to 622 of the family's 1533-position model. The record is from RNAcentral.
AAGACCUUGCGCUUUUGGAGCGGCCGAUGUCUGAUUAGCUUGUUGGURAGGUAAARGCUUACCAAGGCUUCGAUCAGUAGCUGGUCUGAAAGGACGRCCAGCCACACUGGGACUGAGACACGGCCCAGACUCCUACGGGAGGCAGCAGUGGGGAAUUUUGGACAAUGGGGGMAACCCUGAUCCAGCCAUGCCGCGUGAGUGAAGAAGGCCUUCGGGUUGUAAAGCUCUUUCAGCCGGAACGAAACGGUUACGGUUAAUACCYGUGAUUACUGACGGUACCGGAAGAAGAAGCACCGGCUAACUACGUGCCAGCAGCCGCGGUAAUACGUAGGGUGCGAGCGUUAAUCGGAAUUACUGGGCGUAAAGCGUGCGCAGGUGGUUUUGUAAGUCAGAUGUGAAAUCCCCGGGCUCAACCUGGGAACU